GCCCCCGUAGCUCAGUUGGAUAGAGCGUCGGUUUCCUAAACCGUAGGUCGCACGUUCGAGUCGUGCCGGGGGCGCCA
Molecule: transfer RNA, 77 nt
Filed under: Deltaproteobacteria bacterium
Lineage: Bacteria; Pseudomonadati; Myxococcota; Myxococcia
Description: tRNA-Arg
Rfam family: tRNA
About the family: Transfer RNA (tRNA) molecules are approximately 80 nucleotides in length. Their secondary structure includes four short double-helical elements and three loops (D, anti-codon, and T loops).
Source: RNAcentral